Molecule: long non-coding RNA, 5563 nt
Organism: Malurus melanocephalus (red-backed fairy wren)
Lineage: Eukaryota; Metazoa; Chordata; Aves; Passeriformes; Maluridae
Exons: 4
Source: RefSeq, a predicted model, not a curated record
UCUCCGCUCUCCCCGCUCUCCGUGGCCCCCGGCCCCACGGAGCGACCCUGCUGUUUUCCGCGGUUUACACGCGAGGAAGCUGUCACGGGGGGCCAACCUUCACCCAAAGGUGCCUUUUUAUGGGGCAAACCCACUGAACCUUCUGCCACUGCAUACAUGUAUGGCAGAUGUGAAGCAAAGUCAGGUGUUUCUCUGAAUUGGACCACUGGAAUAUCAGGGGCAUGGGGCUCUUUCCUGCCUCCAUCCUGACCUUCAGCAAUAAGAUGGGAGCAGCAACAGUGUUGGUACAGUAAAAUUCUCAUUUAUUUUCAACUUAUGUGGUUGUAUUGCUCAUGAUUCCACAGUCCUCUCAACUUUUACAAAUCCGUCCACGUUUUGACAACAUCCAGACGCUCCCAGCUCUUUCAAAGUGUAACAUGGGAUUCGUUUUGACAUUUGCUUUAAGAGAAUUGCACAGCGCUCCGUACUUGCCCAAGCAACAGUCCUGCGGCCCUGGCUGCUGCAGAACCCCUGCUCACAUGGUGCCACAGGACCAGGCUCUGCCCACCGCACAAGGCUCGAGGCCACCCCUUUAGGAACCCUUUUAGGAAGGGUCCCCAGAMGCCCGCAGGCCCGGGGGAGCCCCUCUUCCCUCUGACUUACCGAUGGAGUACAUCUCCAGCUGCUGCCGCAGGCGGAUCUUCUUCAUGCUGUCGUAGAAGUUGGGUUCGGGCGGCGUCUCGGCGGCCGGGGGCAGGGUGAAGAUGCGCAUAAUCCUCCUCUUGUUCCUGCGAGGAGGGGGCAAGGCGGUGAGAGGUGUCGCCCCUCCACGAGGGGGCCCCGCGGGAGCCGCCGCCCCGCCCCGCCCCGCCCGGGCCUCCUCUCACCGCCGCGCGUAGACGAGCAGAGCGAGGCUGGCCAGCACCACCAGCAGGUACACGUUGGUGGCCUCGUUCCACGCCUCGUGCACCGAGUAGUCGAUGGCGCCGCCGUCGCCCAGCGCCGCCGAGGAUCCGCCGCCGCCGCCCGCCCCGCCGGCCCCCGCCACCACCGCCGCCAUGGGGAGCGCGGCCGGCAGGGGCGGCCCCGGCGGCCCCGGGAAGUGACGUCAUGGCGGCGCGAGGCGCCAUGGCGGGGMGGGCGGGGGUCCUGAGGGGAGCCGGGAAUAAUGAAUGAUAGAUAAUGCUGAGUGUAAAAUGCGCCGGUGAACAGUAGUGCUGCUGCUUGCUCAAAUGCAUAGAUAGAAAAAAAUCUUGAUAGUCGGCGCGCCUGAUGUGCAAUACUCCACCGAGCACCUGGGUUUGUGCAACUGUAAAUGACAGGUUGUAAAAGAGCUCUGACUGAGACCGUCGAGUCCAACCUAUGUCCAGACACCACUUUGUCAACCAGACCAGUCUUUCCUUAAACACCUCCAGAGACAGUGACUCCCCCACCUCCCUGGGCACUCCGUUCCAGAGUCAAAUCACCCUUUCUGWGAAGAAAUCMCUCCUAAUGUGCARCCUAAACCUAUGCUGRCGCAGCUUARGGCCACCUUAAGGCCUCUUGUCCUGUCACUUACUACCUUGGAGAAAAGGCUGACCCCCGCCUGGCUGCACCCUCCUUUCAGGAAUAAUCAGUGUCUCUUUCAGUAUGUUGAACUUUUCUGCUAACAAGMCUGACAAGAAAGCAUUACACAUCUUCGGAAGAAAAGUGGAAAAACAAAUCUUGCUGUGAACAACCCUGGAAGGGACUGGAACAUCCCACGACUCUGCAUGCAGCUUCCCAUGCAAAGGAAACCAAGGCCUGUAUCCACAAAGCAUGACCUCAGGUCCUGGAAUUUUCUCUGCAGCCUCCAGCACACAGCAACAGACUUUGCCUCACUCAGCCUUGCCUGGUCCACUUGAUGUAAUGAAAUGCUUGAUUCAAGACUCUGAUAAUCCACCCGCCCCCAACCUACAAGACAGGCAGAGACAGGUUUUCUUCCCCAUACCCCUCUGAUUUUAGUAAAUGUGAAUCAGUGGGUAAGACAGAGUUAGACUGAGGAGCACAUCUGGCACUGCCCUGAGUGUGACAGCYUUGCAAACCUAAGGAAAAGGGGUGAUCUUCCCCUUACCAGCCUGUAGAAAUAGGAGUUCUGGGGAUGCAGACUUUCUGMAUGACUUCCUUGAGGAGCCUGGUUCAAACACCAAAGUUUGUKGACUCUUUUGUUUGUAGCCUGUAGGUUAGCUUGUCUGGUACAAUUUUAUUUCCUUUUAUAGCUUGGUCUUUUGUUUCAAUCUUAGGCUCCUACAGCAUAUUCAGAAGUGGGAAAGAAAGCAACUCUUGAAUUUGGCCAGAGUGUAGUCAGGCCUCUGUGUGUGAGAAAUUGUGUUACCUGUUGGUAUAGAUUAUGUAGCAUGUUUAUUUGUGGCUUGGAUGAGGUGUGAUGGGUGUGUGCUGUUCAUGCAUGAGGACAUAAGUUGUUUUAUAUUUUCUUAUCUAAAGCUGAGUGUAGGCAAAAGACUGUCAUUUUGUGCUGUGCCUUGUAACAUCUGACCCGCAGAAUCCUGGCCUAUGAUCAAAGCAUGUAGGCACCAAACUAAUAAUAUGUAAUAAUAAUACAUGGCACUGGCAUAAACUAAACAUAGGUAAUGGAGACCCAAGCUUAGGGGCUAAAUUUUCAACAUUACAGGCACGUACACUGUGGGGGUUUCAGUUUGAGUUAGACACAACACUCCAUGCCUCCGCCAUCCCAGGAAUGAGCUCUUUGGGAGAAAAACACAUAAAAAUCCCAACCUUAACAGAAGUGGAGACUUUGUUCAUUCCACAAAGAAAUCCAGAGUGUACUUGAUAAAAGUACCAUCUUUGGUGUCAUAGAUUUAUCAAGAGAAUUGUUUAAGAGGGUCUUCCAGCUCUACAGGGAAAGAAUUCACUUUCCAAAGGUCAUUAGCAUCCAGCAACUACUAGAAAAUUGACUGAGAGCUACUGAAUGCUAUCAGUUUUUAAAAUCCAGUUACUGCAUAUCCAAAAUGUGAAUGCUGAAACAGUAAGCUUGGUCUUUUGAAAAUUAUGGCCAAAGAAUCUGUGUGUGUGUGUAAUUUUUAAUGGAUUUUGAGUUAGCCAGAGUUAAACAGAAUCAAAAAUUGCUGAGACAAAAAUAUCAUUGUAAUGUAAAUAAAUUCACCAUUUAAUCCUGAUAAAUACUGGAUUAUAGACUUCUGAACAGAGAUUGACAAUUAUUGGAAAUCAUGUGAUCAUCUCAAGUAUACAGUGUCUCAAUUAAAAUAAAACCACAAAAUCCUUUUUCUUUUUUAAAAGUACCAUCUAGCAUGUAAUUUAUUUGGUUGGACUCUACAAAUGUACACAUUAUAUCAUGSUAGAAGAACUCGAGAACCACUUUUUUCUUGUUCCCAGGGUCUCUUGACUGUUGGUAAGACWUAACAGUCAUAAUGAUAGAAUCGGUUUACAGUUGCAUAUUCUGCCAAAUACCUCACAAAUUAUAUUUGGCAAACAGCACUGCCUCUGUUUCACAAAGAUAAUGAUCUGAUGUUUUGUUUAUGUGGCACCAAAGGAAAAUAUUAUUUUAGAGCUUGUGACAGAAUUUCAAAAAGUUUGUGUGGUAUUCUAAACUUCUGAUACAUUUUAAAGUUACCGCUCUAUUAAAUAUAGAGCAACAUAGAUUUUCAAACUAUCCUGCAAAAAAGAAAAAAAAAUCAAACAAAUGUUCAGUUAAAUACAUUGUGUCCAUUUUACUUCCUCAGCGUUUACCCAGACCUAGGUARGAGCUGGGGUAGAUAUUCAUGUGCUACUUUUUAAAUCUGAUGGUGUCAAACAUACAGAUGCGCUGCCAUAAAGGCUGCUCACCCCUAYAGGAUUUAGUGUUAUAGGAGUCCUUUUAGGAUGUAGUCUGAAGUCCAUAGCGCAAAAUGGGAAAUGCUACAUCAGACUUGACUCCCCAGAAGAGUGCAGCCAGCAUGCAGUUUGGGAAGGAAAACAGCACAACCUUGACAGUGCUAUUCCUUGGAUGGCUCCAAGGAAAUAAUGAAAGGAGCAGUGGGUUUGAACUGAAUGUCAAACUCUGCUCUGAGACAGGCAGUUUCCAUUCUGUAACUGGUGGUACAAACCCACCUGGUAAGGGCUCAACUUCAGUGGGAAAUCCACUGGGAAUUUGUUUUGGCAACAUCACUGGACCAAGGCAGUGAGCCCUGACACAGCUGACACCUGCAGCCAGACUGUCAGCAGGCUCAGCUCCAUGCCCUAGGUCUCCUGGUGUCCUCCGCUGUUAGCACAGCAGUGUCCCACCAGAGUUCAGUCUGGGAACCAGGUGCUAUUUCCUGAGUCUGAGUCUGGCAGACCAUUUCUGCUUUGAUUCUUUGUCUAGCAGUUGGUUGGUUGGGGGUGGGUGCAGUAUGCUGUGGGACUCCUGCAGGGAUGGCAGAGGAGGCAUUGCCCAAAAGGGAAGGGCAAGGUGGUUACACAGACCUCAGCAAAAGAAUUGUCCUGUCCCUUGGAAAGGGGCCAGACCCAGGGCCUCCAUCUUGGUGAUAACAGCAAACAAAAGCCCUGGAACGACUGGGAUCAUAUCUGCCUUGGCACUGACUACCUAGGGUGGUUUGGGGAACCUCCUCUGAAGUUUUCUGUAGCUGUCCUUCUUGUCCUUCUCCAUCUUUGUGCAGUUUCUUUGACUGGACAUUUAGGAUGGAAGAACAGUAAUACAAAAGGACACAUGGCAAUGACCAUUCCUAGAGAAGCAACUUUUGUGGGAAAGGACAGGGAAUGUGGUAUACUUUAUCUGAGCCUGAGAUAAGAACCAGCAGCUGUUGUUGAGGUUAGCCAGAGCUGUGGCAGAGGUCUUAGCAAGKGAGGUCAUGCCCAUUGUUCUAGAGCUGGUUGGGGAGCAAGUGAGUAGAGAGGGGCUUGCAGGCUCCCAGCUGUGAGCAGGCCUCUUCCUGACCUUCAUCUUUUGAUGCUUUCCACAAGACAUACAAAAGCUGCUUGUACUGAGGCAGCAAAGUCCUUGAAUGUUUAUCAAAGUUGGUUUUAAUUGGUGGUAAAGACUGAAAUACCCAGAAAAGAGAUUUGGAGAGAGGGGAGAGUACUGCAUGUGGGACUGUCCUGCUUCUUUUCCCGCUCUCUGUGUUUCCUUGCCUCUUCUCUUUAAGGGAAAAGAAGCUGAAAAUUUGGGAAGGACUGGAUUAAUGCAAUCAUGAGAUGCAGAAGGAGUUAGCAGGGAAGAACAGAAAGAUGCAUAGGGUACAAAUGUCUGAUUUUACUGAAAGACUGGAAAGAGCUGGCACACAAACUUGGUUUUGGUCUUGCCAGGCUGAGAUAGAAAUGGAGAGUAAAGUACACAAAUACCAUGAGCAAGCUAAAAGGGAAGUGGUAUGUGUGGCAUGUGUGGCUAAUACGACAACCCUUGUAUCUAUCUGUCUUGUUCCUUCAGACUCACUAAUGCAAACACGAUGAGAUUUAUGGAAUUUUGCAAAAUUCUAAAAUACUGUCUGCAAGGCCAGAUUCUCGCUAUGUUUGGGCUUAAGAGCCAGCUGUUAAUAACUAAUGCUAGACUGACCAUGCUGCCAUCUAGUGUUUCCUAGUGGACAGAAACAUCCCAAAAAAAGAAACUGCA